UACCAGCAGUCCAAGUUGCAGCCAUAAUUAUUGGGUCUAAAACAUCCGUAGCUUGCUUAAUAAGUUUCUCGUGAAAUCUUAUAUCUCAAAUAUAAGGCGGGCGAGAAAUACUGUUAAGCUAGAGACCGGAAGAUGUGAAGAGUACUCUUGAGGUAGUGGUCAAAUACGUUAAUCUUAGGAGGACUAACAACUAGCGAAGGCACUUCACAAGCACGGAUCUGACAGUGAGGGAUGAAAGCCAGGGGCGCAAAACGGAUUAGAUACCCGUGUAGUCCUGGCAGUAAACACUGCUCACUAAACAUUGGUCUCUCUUCGGGAGAAAUCAGUGCUGAAGCGAAGGCGAAGAGUGAGCUACCUGGGAAGUAUAGUCGCAAGGUCGAAACUUAAAGGAAUUGGCGGGGAGACACUACAACGAGUGACGCGUGCGGUUCAAUUAGAUUCUACACCGUGAACCUCACCAGGAGCGACAGCAGGAUGAAGGUCAGUCUAAAGGGCUUACCUGACACGCUGAGCGGAGUCGCAAGUCCGACGUCAGCCUGUGUUGUGAGAUGACCUGUUAAAUCAGGUAACAGGCGAGAUCCACAUGUAUAAUUACUACAGAAAUGAGGACAUUAUACAGACUGCCUAUGUAAAUAGGAGGAAGGUGUGGGCUACGUCAGGUUAUUUCAGCCCUAACCCCCUGGGCUACACGCGCGCGGCAAUGGUAGAUUCAGCGAGAUGCAACUCUGAAAAGAGAAGCUAAUCCCCUAAUGUCUAUCUCAGUACAGAUUGAGGGUUGCAACCCACCCUCAUGACGAUGGAAUUCGUAGUAAUCGUUUGUUAGCAACGAACGGUGAAUAUGUCCCUGUCUCU
RNAcentral lists this ribosomal RNA (852 nucleotides) under uncultured archaeon. RNAcentral's name for it is "SSU rRNA". It matches the Rfam family "Archaeal small subunit ribosomal RNA", at positions 474 to 1337 of the family's 1478-position model. The record is from RNAcentral.